RNAcentral lists this ribosomal RNA (253 nucleotides) under uncultured bacterium. Its description in RNAcentral is "partial 16S ribosomal RNA". It matches the Rfam family "Bacterial small subunit ribosomal RNA", at positions 524 to 776 of the family's 1533-position model. The record is from RNAcentral.
UACGGAGGGUGCAAGCGUUGUUCGGAAUUACUGGGCGUAAAGGGCGUGUAGGUGGUUGACUAAGUCAGGUGUGAAAGCCCUCAGCUCAACUGAGGAAGCGCAUCUGAAACUGGUUAACUUGAGUACGGGAGAGGAGAGUGGAAUUCCUGGUGUAGAGGUGAAAUUCGUAGAUAUCAGGAGGAACAUCGGUGGCGAAGGCGACUCUCGGGACCGAUACUGACACUGAGACGCGAAAGCCAGGGGAGCAAACGGG